RNAcentral lists this ribosomal RNA (299 nucleotides) under Ctenophora environmental sample. Its description in RNAcentral is "partial Bacterial small subunit ribosomal RNA". It matches the Rfam family "Bacterial small subunit ribosomal RNA", at positions 340 to 649 of the family's 1533-position model. Lineage: Eukaryota; Metazoa; Ctenophora. The record is from RNAcentral.
UACGGGAGGCAGCAGUGGGGAAUAUUGCACAAUGGGCGCAAGCCUGAUGCAGCGACGCCGCGUGGGGGAUGAAGGCCUUCGGGUUGUAAACUCCUUUCGCUAGGGACGAAGCAUUUUUGUGACGGUACCUGGAGAAGAAGCACCGGCUAACUACGUGCCAGCAGCCGCGGUAAUACGUAGGGUGCGAGCGUUGUCCGGAAUUACUGGGCGUAAAGAGCUCGUAGGCGGCUGGUCGCGUCUGUCGUGAAAUCCUCUGGCUUAACUGGGGGCUUGCGGUGGGUACGGGCCGGCUUGAGUGC